RNAcentral lists this ribosomal RNA (253 nucleotides) under uncultured bacterium. RNAcentral describes it as "partial 16S ribosomal RNA". It matches the Rfam family "Bacterial small subunit ribosomal RNA", at positions 524 to 776 of the family's 1533-position model. The record is from RNAcentral.
UACGGGGGGGGCAAGCGUUGUUCGGAAUUACUGGGCGUAAAGGGUUCGUAGGUGGCCAACUAAGUCAGACGUGAAAUCCCUCAGCUCAACUGGGGAACUGCGUCUGAUACUGGUCGGCUUGAGUGCAGGAGAGGAACGCGGAAUUCCAGGUGUAGCGGUGAAAUGCGUAGAUAUCUGGAGGAACACCGGUGGCGAAGGCGGCGUUCUGGACUGCAACUGACACUGAGGAACGAAAGCCAGGGGAGCGAACAGG